CUCCAACUGAAGAAUCCCAAAUAGGACGAAACGCGCAUCCUGGAU
Schistosoma rodhaini is the source of this 45-nucleotide non-coding RNA. NCBI's taxonomy places the organism in Eukaryota, Metazoa, Platyhelminthes, Trematoda, Strigeidida, Schistosomatidae. The record is from Rfam.